CCUACGGGUGGCAGCAGUAGGGCAUAUUGCUCAAUGGGGGAAACCCUGAAGCAGCAACGCCGCGUGGAUGAAGAAGGUUUUAGGAUUGUAAACUCCUUUUGUUAGAGAAGAUUAUGACGCUCUCUAACGAAUAAGCACCGGACAACACCGUGCCAAGAGCGCCGGUAAGACGCCGGGCACAACGGUUCCUCGGAAUAUGUGGUCGUAAAGGGUGCGGAGGCGGGAUAAUAAGGUCGAUGUGAAAACCUGGAGCGUAACGACAGAACUGCAUUUGAAACUGGUACUCUGGAGUGUGGGAGAGGUAGGUGGAAUUCGUGGUGUAGAGGUGAAAUCCGUAGAGAUCAAGAGGAAUACUGAUUGCGAAGGC
RNAcentral lists this ribosomal RNA (367 nucleotides) under uncultured bacterium. Its description in RNAcentral is "partial 16S ribosomal RNA". It matches the Rfam family "Bacterial small subunit ribosomal RNA", at positions 338 to 722 of the family's 1533-position model. The record is from RNAcentral.